Cebus imitator (Panamanian white-faced capuchin) is the source of this 1933-nucleotide long non-coding RNA. RefSeq lists it as uncharacterized. The transcript has 2 exons. The record is from RefSeq and is a predicted model, not a curated record. NCBI's taxonomy places the organism in Eukaryota, Metazoa, Chordata, Mammalia, Primates, Cebidae.
CUACUAAACUUACCAGGACCAAAUGGCAGAAGCCUUCUGUGAAUGUCUACAUAGGCUUGAACAUCAUAAGCUUGAACAUCACAAUCUAAGCUGCGUGUGACCCCCAUAAUUAGAAAAAUUUGAUAAUUUGAUAACAACUACAGAGUACAUCUGUAUUCAAUUGACUCAGAAGAGGGGAAAGGCCAGUUUUCACAUUUGGGCUGAGUAUAUCAGCUGAGGAACAGGCCUGGGAGGGAAGACAUGAAUACAGAGUAAGAGCUUAAAGCAUGAAGUAUUAGCCCACCAGAAACUACACAGCCAAACACAUCCAAAUUUUAUAUGUUUACAAGAAGAUAGGAUUAAAUUUAUGAGUUUCCAAAUGUGUUAAAAUGGAUAUUGAUUUUUAUCUUUGAGGAGGAAUUCAAAUGUCACAAAGAAUCUGAAUCCUGAAGAGUAAUCAACUUUUCAACAAUGUAUAAUUAUAAAAAAAGGCAGGGAAGCCAGCAGACAUCAGGACUUACUUUCUAAUUAAGCCCAAAGUCACUUUAAAAAGCAGACCAUCCUGUCCAAUGACACCCAUUCCAUUGGCUCGUCCACAGCUGUCAAUACAGACCAUCUCUGGUUCCAUGUCUUUAUUAGCAACCACAAAUUGGCCAUAGAUGAGAUCUCCAACCUAUAAUGAUAUUAAAAACCAGUUCAUUUCCUCUCAGCAAACUACUCUACAGGUGCUGCUAUUGGUUCUUUCCCACAGCCAUCAAUGCCAGCCACCUCCAGUUCUGUGGCUAAGGGACUGACUACACUACAGGAUUUCUAUAGUCACUUUGGAGUUGAGUCUUGUGAAAAAAAGGAAUGCAUGUAUCAUUCCCUUUCACCAACCAGGAAAUCACAGAGGAGGAGCCAUCUCAAAGCCAGAGAACACCUCUAGGGUUUCACUGUCUAAUAUGAAAGUGACUGUAUGAGGAUGUCUGCUCUCAAAACCCUGGAUGGUGAGGUAAAAGUGUGGAGGCAAGGAUUAAUGUGACUGAGUCCAGUCAAGAGGGAGCUAAAGCCUGAACUUGCAAAGUGGAGAUAAAGGGAUGCCCAUUAUCAAAGAUCAGAGAUGGAAUCAAAUAGGAUCAAAAUAGGGUUAGGCAAUUAAAUAUGCAUGAGAAGUGAAUGAGAAGCAGCAAAGACAUCACUAAACGUCAGGCUGGGGUAGACAAGAAGAGUGUGGCUAUGCUACCUGAAAAGCCCAAACUGAAAACCCAAGGCAAUAAUAUCACUCCUCUCUCAGUUCCUAGGACCUACAGCCAGGAUGGAUGGAUAGCUGAUAAUGUCAAAAUGUGCACAACUUGUCCCUCCUCUAAGCCUACAGAAGACUUCCUUGUCCAGAGGAUAUGGACAUAAAUAAUGGAGAUGACAGAUAAAACCUUUCAAUUCAGUAGAAAUGAAACAUGCCAAGAACAAAUGUAGUCAAUGUAAAAUAAGUAUGUGGCUCUGGUCCUGGAGCAUCUGAAGAAACUCUUGAAGCCUGGGGCACUUACAUCCAUGCACAGAGAUCUAGGUCAUGCUUUGGAGACAAUUCAGGUAGCCUUCUGGAUAUUUGAGUGUUCUAGGGAAUGGAUGUUUUUCUUGCUUUGAAACCAAAGGCUCCCAUCAUUACCUGCACAUUUGGUCUGUUUCUUUUAGUUGCACCUUCAAAUGACAAGUAAGACAAAGAAGCUGGCUCACUCCCUCCAACAUCAACUUUGAAUAUAUCUCCAGAUUUUGCUGUCACUAUGCCAAUCACAUGGUCUCCUUUCACUGGAACAUACUACAAGAGGAAACAGAAUGAGAAAACAGCCAUAAAUAACAAGAUACCACUGGAAGGUACCUUCAGCUAGUCCUUUGUGGUUACCUUAUUGUCAUUAAAGAAAGAAAUCUGAUCGUAUGCCACUUUCGGUAAAAGAAAAUCACAUAAAGUGUCCGGUUUGCA